Long non-coding RNA from Quercus robur (English oak), 2187 nucleotides. RefSeq lists it as uncharacterized. The transcript is spliced from 4 exons. The record is from RefSeq and is a predicted model, not a curated record. Lineage: Eukaryota; Viridiplantae; Streptophyta; Magnoliopsida; Fagales; Fagaceae.
CAUAAUGCACAGUUAGAUUAGAAACUUGAGAAUUCAGUAAAUCUCCAUUCAGUACUGGGAUGUUAUGGUGUGUACUAGCUUAUUUGUCUGUGAAAUAAUGAUUUUCUUGUUUUCCGUCUCAGAAAGUGCGUUGAAGUUGACAUGUGGGAUCUUGAAAACUGUACUAAAAUCUAGACUUCCAAACUUCCUCCUAAGACUAGUCUUGAUCUCUUUACCCCAACUUGGUUUACGUCAUCAACAUUCCUGAGUAAGGAUGAUCACCGCAAAAUUGUGGCUGGCACCAACAGUCAUCAGGUUUGCCUCUAUGGUAUUUCUACUCAGUGAAGACCUGUUUGCUCAUUUGAUUUCUGGGAGACCCCUAUCAAAGCAGUAGCUGAAGAUUUUAAUGGCUACACAGUUUAUGUAGGGAAUGGGUGUGGUGACCUUGCUUCUGUUGACAUGCGCACAGGGAAAUUGUUGGGGUGCUUUUUGGGCAAAUGUUCUGGAAGCAUCAGAUCUAUAGCCUGGCACCAGGAGCUUCCAGUGAUAGCAUCAUGUGGUAUGUUGACGUGUUGUAUUGUUUUCUCUUGUGUUAAUUUGCAUUGGAACUCAUAUGGACACAAAUACUUGCACAACCCAUUUGCACACACACACCCAGAGAGAGAGACCUGUCAUCUGUGUUUCCUAAUGUGUGUGCAUACCCUCUCUUUCCUUUGCUUUUUAGGUAACAGUAAUGCAUGUUCACCCUCUUUUAGGUGGUCAAACUCAAAAUAUUGGCUUCCUUUACAAGACGGUCACUAUGUGCUUACGAGUUAAAAAUAGGGAAGUUUACUUAGGAUGGUCUUGCAAUCUGGAGAAGUGAGAAAGAAGAGGAAAUGUUCAUCUUAGUUUAUGCUCAAUCACUUGCUAUAUUAAUUACUAAGCAAUAAUAACCUUUUAUUAUCGUAUAUAUUUUUUGUUGGUCAUUUCUUGUAUGAAUAUUUUAAUUAAAAAAAGCCUGUGUACAGUUAGCACUUAAUUGUGCGUGGGAUCAAUUAAUAUUUAUCAAAUCAUCCCUCAGCAUUUUGAAGUUAAGUUGGUUGCCUUAGAACCUAAUUUUCUUGACUAUCAAAUUUGAGAACUUGACUAAUUUCUAGGACUGGACAAAUCUACAGUUUUAGGAUAUAAAGACACGGCAAUUUCUGUCUGUGGUAUGUUCUUAUACUUUAUGAUUACAAAGAUUUAUUGAAAUUUCUUGCUGAAAGACAAGGCUGAAUAUUUGCCAGUUAUAAACUCUUACAUGCAUUUAUUUCCCUUACCAGAUUUACAAUUUUUAAUUUGUUAUCACCCCUUGUUUUGGUGUCUCUGCAUUGCCUUACCUAACCGUCAAAACUCUUCAUUCAAACUUGAGGUCAAGAACAAAUUUUGGAUCCAAUAGAGAUGAGUGGCAGAACUGUUCUGCAUUCAAAGUUAAAAAAUUGAUGUUUUAACCAUGUAAUCUUUUUUAUUAUUUUUUUAAAGGAAUCAGUGAAGCCAUUGCUGAGGGUUUAGAUAUUUACUUGGAGCUAUUAUGUUAAUGGAAAAUAUGGUUUUUUUCAGCUUUCAUUGACACACUCAAUUUAUUGCAGCUAACAUUCAUUUAAUUCAUUUAAUAAUAUAUAAAGUGAGAUGCGCUAUCAGCACUAUAAUUUGACUUAUCUCAAAGGGACAUUAGUAAUGUGCGUAUGAUGGAUCCAAAGCAAGAUGGUCGAUCAACAUGAUGGCAUGAUAUUGAAAAUGUUUAGCAAGAAAGUUAAAAGGUGAAUGUAUAAAAUUGAGGGGGAAAAUGGGCAUUUGCUCCUAAUUUACAAAUUAUGUAGCACAAUGUUCAUGUUUUGAAACUAUUUAACAAAAUGCCCAUGUGGAAUCUGACAUUUCUAAUGUCGAGUUCCCCUAAAAUUGAGUGCAUUACUCUUGUGUGCAGUGCACAUGGAUACUUUGCUGGAAAGGUCUGCUUAGGGCAUGGUGCACUUUGGAUUUUUGGCUCGAAAGGGCUGCUGUUCAAUGGAAGGUUAAGGGCCUGUUUGGUAGAGAAGUUUGAGUAAUGUUGUUUGUAGUUUUUUGAAAUACAUGUGGGUGAAAAUGUGUGCAAUGUUGUUUAAAAACUGAAAAUGAAUUGUUUAACAACUUUAUCAAACAAGGCCUAAGUGUUCUUAAGCAUGCACUGGCUAUUGAUCCACGGUCUAAUGA